GACGAACGCUGGCGGCGUGCUUAACACAUGCAAGUCGAACGGAAAGGCCCUGCUUUUGUGGGGUGCUCGAGUGGCGAACGGGUGAGUAACACGUGAGUAACCUGCCCUUGACUUUGGGAUAACUUCAGGAAACUGGGGCUAAUACCGGAUAGGAGCUCCUGCUGCAUGGUGGGGGUUGGAAAGUUUCGGCGGUUGGGGAUGGACUCGCGGCUUAUCAGCUUGUUGGUGGGGUAGUGGCUUACCAAGGCUUUGACGGGUAGCCGGCCUGAGAGGGUGACCGGCCACAUUGGGACUGAGAUACGGCCCAGACUCCUACGGGAGGCAGCAGUGGGGAAUAUUGCACAAUGGGCGGAAGCCUGAUGCAACAACGCCGCGUGCGGGAUGACGGCCUUCGGGUUGUAAACCGCUUUCGCCUGUGACGAAGCGUGAGUGACGGUAAUGGGUAAAGAAGCACUGGCUAACUACGUG
Molecule: ribosomal RNA, 468 nt
Filed under: uncultured bacterium
Lineage: Bacteria
Description: partial 16S ribosomal RNA
Rfam family: Bacterial small subunit ribosomal RNA
Source: RNAcentral